Molecule: long non-coding RNA, 412 nt
Organism: Phascolarctos cinereus (koala)
Lineage: Eukaryota; Metazoa; Chordata; Mammalia; Diprotodontia; Phascolarctidae
Source: RefSeq, a predicted model, not a curated record
GUGUAAGGAAUGUGAGAUGUAGUAGUCUACAGAAUGUUUGUUAUUUUUUUACAUGUGUUGGAGAAAAAUGAAGGAGGCACUGAUAAGAAAUACUAUUGCUGCAUGGACUUCAGUAUUGAAACAAUGGAAAGCCUAAAGAUUUUGUAGGAAAACUUCAAAAAGGAAAAUCACGAACAAAGGAAUAGCUCCUUCUCCUUGCAUGACAAAUUGGGAAAAUGUGAAUGAAAGAAAGCGUCUUUCUAUGAAAUGAGAUGUUCUUAUCACAUCAGAACUCUUUAAAAAAUGGAACUAAUAAGCUUUUAUAUUUGGAGAACCAUAAACAGCAAUGUCUCUAGUAACUUCCUAUAUGAAACUUUGGGUGACUGACUACAACCAGAUCACUUUUCAUCUAAUUUCCAAAAUUAAAACAAAC